This is an RNA transcript of Myotis myotis, 3381 nucleotides long. It is a transcript of the gene named histone H1.2-like, with no coding region annotated. NCBI's taxonomy places the organism in Eukaryota, Metazoa, Chordata, Mammalia, Chiroptera, Vespertilionidae. The record is from RefSeq and is a predicted model, not a curated record. The transcript has 2 exons.
UCGCCACUUUCGCCAACUCUUCCUAGACCUUCGCCAUCGCCAUCGCCAUGUCGGAGACCGCUCCCGCCGCGCCCGCUGCCGCGCCCCCCGCGGAGAAGACCCCCGUGAAGAAGAAGGCGGCCAAGAAGCCCUCCGGGGUGCGCCGCAAGGCGUCCGGGCCGCCGGUGUCCGAGCUCAUCACCAAGGCGGUCGCCGCCUCCAAGGAGCGCAGCGGCGUGUCGCUGGCCGCGCUCAAGAAGGCGCUGGCGGCCGCGGGCUACGACGUGGACAAGAACAACAGCCGCAUCAAGCUGGGCCUCAAGAGCCUGGUGAGCAAGGGCACCCUGCUGCAGACCAAGGGCACCGGCGCCUCGGGCUCCUUCAAGAUCAGCAAGAAGGCGGCCUCCGGGGAGGCUAAGCCCAAGGCCAAGAAGGCGGGCGCGGCCAAGCCCAGGAAGCCCGCGGGCGCGGCCAAGAAGCCCAAGAAGCCCGCGGGCUCCGCCACCCCCAAGAAGAGCGCCAAGAAGACCCCGAAGAAGCCCAAGAAGCCGGCGGCGGCGGCGGGAGCCAAGAAAGCGGCCAAGAGCCCCAAGAAGGUGAAGGCCGCCAAGCCCAAGAAGCCGGCCAAGAGCCCGGCCAAGGCUGUGAAGUCCAAGGCCGCCAAGCCCAAGGUUGCCAAGACCAAGAAGGCUGCCCCCAAGAAGAAGUAGGUUCACAACCGCUUCUACAACCCCAACGGCUCUUUUCAGAGCCACCACUGAUCUCGAAAGAGAGACGAGCACUCCUCACCCGCCAUUUACCCGGCUCUCCCCUCCCCGCCCGCCCCUUUAACCUUUCAUUCUAACGCAGUGUCGCUGGAGCAGCACCGGAGGGGCCUGCGGACACCGGGAGGAGGGGGCAGUGUGGGCCUCGGAAGGGCGGUCGCUGGAGGUGACAGGCAGACCAUCCGCAUUGGGAACGGGCUGCUGUGGGGGGACAGACAGUUCCUGGUCCGAUCAGCGGAACCGCCCUGGGCAGCCCUGGCUCCACGGGCCGGUGGACAGGAACGCGAUACCAGCCGGUUCCCGAGCCGCGGGGAUGGCACCAUUAGGCCCGGGGAGCUUUCAAAAGUCCCGCCCGCUCGCGGGUUGGCGCACGCCCGUCGUUCUCGUGCUGGAUGCCAUUGGACAGUGGCAGCUGCUGUGGCACGUUUGCUUUUUUUUUUUUUUUUUUUUACUUGUUCUGGCGUUUUUGUUGUUGGGUUGAGUUUGCCCUUCUCGCUGGGUGUGGCAAUGCUUCUGGCAUGUUUUGGAAAGUCAGGCUGCUGUGUCCUGGAGCGUUUUUUGGCCUCCAGCCCUGGGAGGAGGCGGCGGGGGCGCCUUCUCGCUCAUUCUUUUCAUUCCCGUUUUUCUGGCGACGAGAAAGCGCCCUUGAGGAAUGGCUGCCGCCCAGGUCUCGGCAGCUGCGGGGUCUUUCUGUCCCUCGGACCCUGUAACCUUGAACUUGGGUGUGACCGGUCGGAGCGCAUCAAAAACAACCUUUGUUCGCCAUGUUGUCCUGACGGGCGGCGCCCCAUCCUCCGAUAGACAAACAUGUAAACCCCGAAGAUGCUUUAAACGCAGAGAGAGAGAGAGAGACCCAAAUGUCUCCAUGCAGGAGGGAAAAGCGUCGGUGAGCCUUGGAUCUGAGUCUGUGAGGGUGAUGUCAGUAAGGGCGUUAGUUUUCAUCGACAGUGUCAUCCGUGGGUUGUGUUACACUCGGGGCGUUUCUGCUGGAUGCAGCCCAGCGGGCAGUUUCAAUUCUGCACAGAUCUUUCUGAGACAACUUCCAGGGAGAGGGGCCUCGGGGCCUGCCGCGCAGUUCUAUCUGGAUCUGUUGCCCCAGCUCCUGGGAGGUAAUUCCCGCAUUAGGGGGCGGGGGGGGGGGGGUGACUCGAAUUCGUGCGCCCCGCCCCGCCCUCUCUCCUGGGCAGAGAGAGCUUAAUCUUCGUCGUCUGUGUAAUCACUUUGAACAGAAAGACUCACUCACGACUACAACACACACGAAGAAAGAUGGUUGUCUCAUGUUUUUCCCCAUUUUUCUGUUGUUAAUUUUACACUUAAAAUUGUGAGCCCUCUGCAUGUUCGUGUACAAGUAUGGAUACGAAUAUAUGGAUCAUUUUUGAUAUGCGAAUGCAUGGAUAUUUUUAUAGGACUUACAUUAUGGAUAUAUGAAUGUACAUGGGUAUUUUCCUCAAGACCAUUUACUAACUGCCUUUUCUGCCUCUCCUGCCCUCCCCAGUCCACCCCCACUUGAGAUAGGACCUUAUCACAGUUAUUUUGUUUUCUCUGUUCCUGCUGGCAAUGGCAAUCUAAUAUUCUAGAUUUCUUGAGGGCCAGUAUUCCAUCAACUGUACAUAGAAGAUACCCAGUGACUGAAGGAAUCUGUGCCUGAGCCAAGUUAUCUCCACAGCAGUGCUAGCUGUUCAUAGCCACGUAAAUAAGGAGCAAAGACACAGGUGAAAUCAUUCUAAGAAGAUAGUUUAUUUAACCCAAUAUGUCCAGAACAUCACCAGAUCAUCCUGUGAGGUUACUUAACAUGGAACCCCCUUUUCAUGCACAGGUGACUUAUUUUUCCACUAUAAAUUGAUGUUCGGUAUCUAGUUUUGUCUUUGUAAUCUAGUGAAGGUUUUAAAGAGUCACCAAGUUGCAUACACUGCAGGCCUCAGAAAAUUUUGAUCUAUUCCCUAUUAUCUUGUUUUAUAUUUGGAAAGUUUAAAAAAGGAACACAUCAAUGCUUCUGUAUUUAUUAAAAGGGGGCCUGGGUGAAGGGAGAGACAAGUUCUACAGUGGCUACCUUUUGUGGAUGAAAAAGGAGUGCUGUAAUGCGUUCCUAGCUGGGCAGGUCAUAGUGGGCAGUCUCGCCCCAGGCACAGAACAUUUGUUAAAAGGUUUAUCUAUGCCUUUGAAACCCAGCAAAGAGCUCGCCUACCUGGUGGUGCUGACAGUAACCAGUUAUGCGGACACCAAGGUGCAGAAAAGAACCAGGCACUCCGUAGGUGUUAAAUAAUUUAAAUUAUAUAAAACCCCAACUCCCCAACAGUGUACCGACAAGGGUUUUACAGAACGAAAGUCCUCAUGAGUAAGGGGUUUGGGGCCAUGGGUCCUGCUGGUUGGUUGGUCAGGUUUCAUGAGGGUGUGGCCAGGGAGAGCUAUGCAGCUCCAGGGCUCAGGGACUGAAUUUAGGCCUCGACCUUAUCUUUGCUGUAGGCAUGGAGACAGACAGGAGCUGGGCAAGGACAAUGGGCCAGGUACAGAAGGUCAACAGGGUGGAAGCCCCAGGUGCCUAGCAACCAGCAAUCAGUGGUAGGGUGGGCCCUCCCCCCAGGGAGACUUCCCCUCCCCCCUUCACUUUUCUCCCUGAAGAUAACAUCUGGGCCUGUUG